UGCGUAGGGGGCAAGCGUCAUCCGGAUUUACUGGGUGUAAAGGGAGCGUAGACGGUCGUGCAAGUCUGAUGUGAAAACCCGGGGCUCAACUCCCGGAUUGCAUUGGAAACUGUAUAACAAGAGUGCAGGAGAGGUAGGUGGAAUUCCUAGUGUAGCGGUGAAAUGCGUAGAUAUUAGGAGGAACACCGGCGGCGAAGGCGGCUUACUGGACUGUAACUGACGUUGAGGCUCGAAAGCGUGGGGAGCAAAC
This 250-nucleotide ribosomal RNA is filed under the name uncultured prokaryote. Its description in RNAcentral is "partial 16S ribosomal RNA". It matches the Rfam family "Bacterial small subunit ribosomal RNA", at positions 524 to 773 of the family's 1533-position model. The record is from RNAcentral.